UGGGGAAUAUUGCGCAAUGGGGGAAACCCUGACGCAGCAACGCCGCGUGAAGGAUGAAGGUUUUCGGAUUGUAAACUUCUUUGAUGAGGGACGAACACAAUGACGGUACCUCAAAAACAAGCCACGGCUAACUACGUGCCAGCAGCCGCGGUAAUACGUAGGUGGCAAGCGUUGUCCGGAAUUACUGGGUGUAAAGGGCGUGUAGGCGGGAAGGCAAGUCAGAUGUGAAAUCCCAGGGCUUAACUCUGGAGCUGCAUCUGAAACUGUUUUUCUUGAGUACUGGAGAGGAAAGUGGAAUUCCUAGUGUAGCGGUGAAAUGCGUAGAUAUUAGGAGGAACACCAGUGGCGAAGGCGGCUUUCUGGACAGUAACUGACGCUGAGGCGCGAAAGCGUGGGGAGCGAACAGG
RNAcentral lists this ribosomal RNA (407 nucleotides) under uncultured prokaryote. RNAcentral describes it as "bacterial SSU rRNA". It matches the Rfam family "Bacterial small subunit ribosomal RNA", at positions 355 to 776 of the family's 1533-position model. RNAcentral also lists the same sequence under 1 other name. The record is from RNAcentral.